UACGGAGGGUGCAAGCGUUAUCCGGAUUCACUGGGUUUAAAGGGUGCGUAGGAGGACUGGUAAGUCAGUGGUGAAAUCCCCGAGCUUAACUUGGGAACUGCCGUUGAUACUAUCAGUCUUGAAUACCAUGGAGGUGAGCGGAAUAUGUCAUGUAGCGGUGAAAUGCUUAGAUAUGACAUAGAACACCAAUUGCGAAGGCAGCUCGCUACACGAAUAUUGACUCUGAGGCACGAAAGCGUGGGGAUCAAACAGG
RNAcentral lists this ribosomal RNA (253 nucleotides) under uncultured bacterium. Its description in RNAcentral is "partial 16S ribosomal RNA". It matches the Rfam family "Bacterial small subunit ribosomal RNA", at positions 524 to 776 of the family's 1533-position model. The record is from RNAcentral.